GAUUCGUCACACUAUCAUUAACUGAAUCCAUAGGUUAAUGAGGCGAACCGGGGGAACUGAAACAUCUAAGUACCCCGAGGAAAAGAAAUCAACCGAGAUUCCCCCAGUAGCGGCGAGCGAACGGGGAGGAGCCCAGAGCCUGAAUCAGCAUGUGUGUUAGUGGAAGCGUCUGGAAAGGCGCGCGAUACAGGGUGACAGCCCCGUACACAAAAGCGCAUGUGCUGUGAGCUCGAUGAGUAGGGCGGGACACGUGGUAUCCUGUCUGAAUAUGGGGGGACCAUCCUCCAAGGCUAAAUACUCCUGACUGACCGAUAGUGAACCAGUACCGUGAGGGAAAGGCGAAAAGAACCCCGGCGAGGGGAGUGAAAAAGAACCUGAAACCGUGUACGUACAAGCAGUGGGAGCACAGGUUUACCUGUGUGACUGCGUACCUUUUGUAUAAUGGGUCAGCGACUUAUAUUCUGUAGCAAGGUUAACCGUAUAGGGGAGCCGUAGGGAAACCGAGUCUUAACCGGGCGUUAAGUUGCAGGGUAUAGACCCGAAACCCGGUGAUCUAGCCAUGGGCAGGUUGAAGGUUGGGUAACACUAACUGGAGGACCGAACCGACUAAUGUUGAAAAAUUAGCGGAUGACCUGUGGCUGGGGGUGAAAGGCCAAUCAAACCGGGAGAUAGCUGGUUCUCCCCGAAAGCUAUUUAGGUAGCGCCUCGUGAAUUCAUCUCCGGGGGUAGAGCACUGUUUCGGCUAGGGGGCCAUCCCGGCUUACCAACCCGAUGCAAACUGCGAAUACCGGAGAAUGUUAUCACGGGAGACACACGGCGGGUGCUAACGUCCGUCGUGAAGAGGGAAACAACCCAGACCGCCAGCUAAGGUCCCAAAGUCAUGGUUAAGUGGGAAACGAUGUGGGAAGGCCCAGACAGCCAGGAUGUUGGCUUAGAAGCAGCCAUCAUUUAAAGAAAGCGUAAUAGCUCACUGGUCGAGUCGGCCUGCGCGGAAGAUGUAACGGGGCUAAACCAUGCACCGAAGCUGCGGCAGCGAACGUAUCACCCAAGACAACUUUACGGAGUUGACGAUUGACGGAGCGAAGCGACGUCAAAGCGUUCAUUAAAGUCGAGUUGGCUUAGGGAUACGUUCGUUGGGUAGGGGAGCGUUCUGUAAGCCUGUGAAGGUGUGUCGUGAGGCAUGCUGGAGGUAUCAGAAGUGCGAAUGCUGACAUAAGUAACGAUAAAGCGGGUGAAAAGCCCGCUCGCCGGAAGACCAAGGGUUCCUGUCCAACGUUAAUCGGGGCAGGGUGAGUCGACCCCUAAGGCGAGGCCGAAAGGCGUAGUCGAUGGGAAACGGGUUAAUAUUCCCGUACUUGGUGUUACUGCGAAGGGGGGACGGAGAAGGCUAUGUUGGCCGGGCGACGGUUGUCCCGGUUUAAGCGUGUAGGUGUGUGUUCCAGGUAAAUCCGGUUCACUUUAACACUGAGGCGUGACGACGAGGCACUACGGUGCUGAAGCAACAAAUGCCCUGCUUCCAGGAAAAGCCUCUAAGCAUCAGGUAACAUCAAAUCGUACCCCAAACCGACACAGGUGGUCAGGUAGAGAAUACCAAGGCGCUUGAGAGAACUCGGGUGAAGGAACUAGGCAAAAUGGUGCCGUAACUUCGGGAGAAGGCACGCUGACACGUAGGUGAAGUGAUUUACUCAUGGAGCUGAAGUCAGUCGAAGAUACCAGCUGGCUGCAACUGUUUAUUAAAAACACAGCACUGUGCAAACACGAAAGUGGACGUAUACGGUGUGACGCCUGCCCGGUGCCGGAAGGUUAAUUGAUGGGGUCAGCGCAAGCGAAGCUCCUGAUCGAAGCCCCGGUAAACGGCGGCCGUAACUAUAACGGUCCUAAGGUAGCGAAAUUCCUUGUCGGGUAAGUUCCGACCUGCACGAAUGGCGUAAUGAUGGCCAGGCUGUCUCCACCCGAGACUCAGUGAAAUUGAACUCGCUGUGAAGAUGCAGUGUACCCGCGGCAAGACGGAAAGACCCCGUGAACCUUUACUAUAGCUUGACACUGAACAUUGAGCCUUGAUGUGUAGGAUAGGUGGGAGGCUUUGAAGUGUGGACGCCAGUCUGCAUGGAGCCGACCUUGAAAUACCACCCUUUAAUGUUUGAUGUUCUAACGUGGACCCGUAAUCCGGGUUGCGGACAGUGUCUGGUGGGUAGUUUGACUGGGGCGGUCUCCUCCUAAAGAGUAACGGAGGAGCACGAAGGUUGGCUAAUCCUGGUCGGACAUCAGGAGGUUAGUGCAAUGGCAUAAGCCAGCUUGACUGCGAGCGUGACGGCGCGAGCAGGUGCGAAAGCAGGUCAUAGUGAUCCGGUGGUUCUGAAUGGAAGGGCCAUCGCUCAACGGAUAAAAGGUACUCCGGGGAUAACAGGCUGAUACCGCCCAAGAGUUCAUAUCGACGGCGGUGUUUGGCACCUCGAUGUCGGCUCAUCACAUCCUGGGGCUGAAGUAGGUCCCAAGGGUAUGGCUGUUCGCCAUUUAAAGUGGUACGCGAGCUGGGUUUAGAACGUCGUGAGACAGUUCGGUCCCUAUCUGCCGUGGGCGCUGGAGAACUGAGGGGGGCUGCUCCUAGUACGAGAGGACCGGAGUGGACGCAUCACUGGUGUUCGGGUUGUCAUGCCAAUGGCACUGCCCGGUAGCUAAAUGCGGAAGAGAUAAGUGCUGAAAGCAUCUAAGCACGAAACUUGCCCCGA
RNAcentral lists this ribosomal RNA (2729 nucleotides) under Salmonella enterica subsp. enterica serovar Typhimurium. RNAcentral describes it as "partial 23S ribosomal RNA". It matches the Rfam family "Bacterial large subunit ribosomal RNA". Lineage: Bacteria; Pseudomonadati; Pseudomonadota; Gammaproteobacteria; Enterobacterales; Enterobacteriaceae. The record is from RNAcentral.